Molecule: transfer RNA, 82 nt
Filed under: Anaerotalea alkaliphila
Lineage: Bacteria; Bacillati; Bacillota; Clostridia; Eubacteriales
Rfam family: tRNA
About the family: Transfer RNA (tRNA) molecules are approximately 80 nucleotides in length. Their secondary structure includes four short double-helical elements and three loops (D, anti-codon, and T loops). Further hydrogen bonds mediate the characteristic L-shaped molecular structure. tRNAs have two regions of fundamental functional importance: the anti-codon, which is responsible for specific mRNA codon recognition, and the 3' end, to which the tRNAs corresponding amino acid is attached (by aminoacyl-tRNA synthetases). tRNAs cope with the degeneracy of the genetic code in two manners: having more than one tRNA (with a specific anti-codon) for a particular amino acid; and 'wobble' base-pairing, i.e. permitting non-standard base-pairing at the 3rd anti-codon position.
Source: Rfam by way of RNAcentral
GGAGGGAUUCCCGAGUGGCUAAAGGGGGCAGACUGUAAAUCUGUUGGCACCGCCUUCGAAGGUUCGAAUCCUUCUCCCUCCA